RNA transcript from Ictalurus punctatus (channel catfish), 2685 nucleotides. It is a transcript of the gene named partner of NOB1 homolog, with no coding region annotated. Lineage: Eukaryota; Metazoa; Chordata; Actinopteri; Siluriformes; Ictaluridae. The record is from RefSeq and is marked provisional. The transcript has 8 exons.
GAGUUAGCCAAUCGAGCGACGGAACAGAGAAGUGUUAGCAAAUCACAGUGAGGAGGCGGAACUUGUCGGAAUGCUGGUGGGAAAAGGUGUCAGGAAGAUGUGGGUGCUGCAUGUACAGCUGUUCGUCUGAUUGCCUGACCAUUUAUUCACAACUCACGCUAUUAUAAACGAGUCCUUAGCAGAGUUUAGUUUGUCGUUUUCUAUUAGUGUAAAUAUGUUUACAAAUACAACGCGAUUCUGGUCCUGGUAUAUUUUUUAAAUAGCUCUGGGAAAAUUACAAACGCAUACAGGCAGUGGUCGGACGAAUCUGGGGUCCUUUUGGUAGAAUGGAGGACACCGCGUGCUCGAGAUAAACAGUUCCUCCGUAUCUUUUAUCACAUUUAUAAGUAAGAGCCACUCGGAAGUGCACGAUGGAGACGGUUAGUAACCCAGCCUCUGAGGAGAUCAGUAUUGUGGAGAAUGGAGAAAACACGGACACUUUCCAAAAGGUAAAAUCGAAGAAAACGUCCAAACGUAAACGUGAUCAGGGUGAAGCCGAAAUGGAGUCUGAAGACGCAGUGGCACCGAAGAGACCACAGUUUCCCCCGAUAUCAGGAGACAGACUGAAGGGUGGUGCUGAUGAAAUGAGGAAAAUCCCCGUGCCGUCUCACCGAUAUACACCUCUGAAAGAAAACUGGCUCAAAAUCUUCACCCCCAUCGUUGAAAACCUGCAACUUCAAGUCCGAUUUAAUCUCAAAACAAGAAAUGUGGAGAUUAAGACGUGUAAAGAAACACAGGAUAUCGGCGCUCUUACGAAAGCAGCAGAUUUUGUAAAGGCCUUCGUUUUAGGAUUUCAGGUUGAGGAUGCACUUGCACUCAUCAGACUGGAUGAAUUGUUUCUGGAAACCUUCGAGGUCACAGAUGUUAAGCCUCUCAAAGGAGAUCACUUAUCGAGAGCUGUUGGGAGAAUAGCAGGCAAAGGAGGCAAAACAAAAUUCACCAUUGAAAAUGUCACAAAGACCAGGAUCGUCCUUGCAGACACCAAGGUUCACAUUUUGGGGUCUUUCCAGAAUAUAAAGAUGGCACGAACAGCUAUAUGUAACCUUAUAUUAGGAAGUCCACCAUCAAAGGUGUAUGGGAACAUUCGGGCAGUUGCCAGCCGUGCAGCAGAGAGAUUCUAACACAGGGCACAACUCUCUGAUCCUCCCCCUGCUAUACAGCUCAAGGACUGAAGCAGAAAAAUGUCCAAAAUAUCUACACGCUACAGUACCAAGUCCAAGGAUUCCCAACAGUAGGCAAUAUGAUGCAGCAUGCAGAGUAGACGUCCCCAACUGGAAAUAUAAUGAUUCUCGAUGUCGAUUUGGGAACGAAACACCCAUUCUCCCAUUCCAUCAACAUAAAUUUGGAGUAAAAUUAGUUUUAAAGCAAUUAAAAAUAAAUUUUAUAAAGGUAUCACUGACUGGAUUUAUAUAUCUCUAUACUGUAUAGACACCAUACAUUUCACUGCAACUUAAUAUUAUUCAGGAAGAAAAACGUGUAUAUAUGUAUUUGUACUUUUCAAGAACACAGAUUGUGCCGAGUCUUUUUUUUUUCUUCUUUUUUUUCAAAACUUUUUGGCGACAUCCAUAACUAUUCGAUAUUUGAUGUUGAAUAUCACAAGUGUAAACAGUAGACGUGCUGUAAAUCGGAAACCAUGCAGAAGGGAACAUGUUCGUGCAGACGCUGGAGGAGCACUUGGGGGAUCAAAGACACACUAGGUACCACAGGUGAGAGAAGCCUGUGAAGAUGUGUAGAGGAAGUAAGGAGCAAAUCCUUUCCAGCAAUACUCUUUACUCACGUCAUGCUAAAGUUCUAAGGUUAAUGUCCUACUGGGUGUUUUGGAUUUAAAAUACAAUACUUUGUUUGUCCAGGUGGGGGCAUGGAGUGGUCACAAAUAGCGUACUGCUGUUCUAAAAUCCUGUGUUCUGGCUUCUGGUACAUAUGUAUCUAGAAUUAUUUUGGGUUUUUAAAGCAAAAACAAUGCUGACUGCAAUGAAACUGCCGUAAUUAUCUGCAGAGGUGUUGAUGAUGAUGAUAAUAAUAAUGAUGAUGAUAAUAAUAAUGAUAAUAAUAAUAAUAAUAAUAAUAAUAAUAAUAAUAAUAAUAAUAGAUGCGGUCAUCAGAGCUCAGUGAUUCAACAAAUCUUUCAGAAUUUGAGCACUGAAACAUUACUAAUUGUUUAUCAUCAGAAGGUCUUUAACAAAAUCCUAACCUGAAGAAGUCAUUGAUUGUUUCGGUAAAGUUGGAUUUUUUUUUGGCAUCUAUUUCUACUGGACUGUCAUCGAAUUAAACACAGAAUAAAGUUACUCUCCAGUAAUACGAACAUUCAUAAAUAAUUUAUCACAAUACAAAAAGUACUGAUUAACAUGAUUAAUCGCAAGAACAAUAGAAACAUUGCAAAAUGAAAGAAAAAUAAAGUAUUCACUUAAACAAACAAAAAACCCAAACAAAAUCAAACCAGUUUUUUCUAAUUAAAAAGAUCUGUCUGGUUUGUUGAUUGUGUUCUGCUUGGCACAUCAUACCCUAAUUAUUUCUGUACUGAAAUGCCAACGUUAACUUAACAUAACUUCCUCCUUUGCAGAAAGCUUAAUAUACACUUGCUUUAAAAAAAAGUGAUCCAAAAUAAAUAUAAAUUAAAAAAAAUUACAAAAAGAAAAUGAGGGGGGG